ACUCCUACGGGAGGCAGCAGUAGGGAAUUUCCGCAAUGGACGAAAGUCUGACGGAGCAAUGCCGCGUGAGUGAUGAAGGUUUUCGAAUCGUAAAGCUCUGUUGUAAGGGAAGAAUAGCAAGGAUAGGAAAUGAUCCUUGUCUGACGGUACCUUACCAGAAAGCCACGGCUAACUACGUGCCAGCAGCCGCGGUAAUACGUAGGUGGCAAGCGUUAUCCGGAAUUAUUGGGCGUAAAGCGCAUGUAGGCGGCUUUUUUAAGUCUGGUGUGAAAGCCUGUGGCUCAACCACAGAAUUGCAUUGGAUACUGGAAAGCUAGAAUCUUGGAGAGGUAAGUGGAAUUUCAUGUGUAGCGGUGGAAUGCGUAGAUAUAUG
RNAcentral lists this ribosomal RNA (373 nucleotides) under uncultured bacterium. Its description in RNAcentral is "bacterial SSU rRNA". It matches the Rfam family "Bacterial small subunit ribosomal RNA", at positions 335 to 700 of the family's 1533-position model. The record is from RNAcentral.